This 467-nucleotide ribosomal RNA is filed under the name uncultured bacterium. RNAcentral's name for it is "partial 16S ribosomal RNA". It matches the Rfam family "Bacterial small subunit ribosomal RNA", at positions 29 to 507 of the family's 1533-position model. The record is from RNAcentral.
ACGAACGCUGGCGGCGUGCUUAACCCAUGCAAGUCGCACGGAAAGGCCCUGCUUUUGUGGGGUGCUCGAGUGGCGAACGGGUGAGUAACACGUGAGUAACCUGCCCUUGACUUUGGGAUAACUUCAGGAAACUGGGGCUAAUACCGGAUAGGAGCUCCUGCUGCAUGGUGGGGGUUGGAAAGUUUCGGCGGUUGGGGAUGGACUCGCGGCUUAUCAGCUUGUUGGUGGGGUAGUGGUUUACCAAGGCUUUGACGGGUAGCCGGCCUGAGAGGGUGACCGGCCACAUUGGGACUGAGAUACGGCCCAGACUCCUACGGGAGGCAGCAGUGGGGAAUAUUGCACAAUGGGCGGAAGCCUGAUGCAGCAACGCCGCGUGCGGGAUGACGGCCUUCGGGUUGUAAACCGCUUUCGCCUGUGACGAAGCGUGAGUGACGGUAAUGGGUAAAGAAGCACCGGCUAACUACGUG